CAGCAGUAGCCGCGGUAAUACGUAGGUGGCAAGCGUUGUCCGGAAUUACUGGGCGUAAAGCGCACGUAGGCGGAUAUUUAAGUCAGGGGUGAAAUCCCAGAGCUCAACUCUGGAACUGCCUUCGAUACUGGGUAUCUUGAGUAUGGAAGAGGUGAGUGGAAUUCCGAGUGUAGUGGUGAAAUUCGUAGAUAUUCGGAGGAACACCAGUGGCGAAGGCGGCACACUGGUCCAUUACUGACGCUGAGGUGCGAAAGCGUGGGGAGCAAACAGGAUUAGAUACCCCUGUAGUCCCUGUCUCUUAUAA
RNAcentral lists this ribosomal RNA (304 nucleotides) under uncultured bacterium. RNAcentral's name for it is "partial 16S ribosomal RNA". It matches the Rfam family "Bacterial small subunit ribosomal RNA", at positions 506 to 809 of the family's 1533-position model. The record is from RNAcentral.